GGAUGUGAGGGCGAUCUGGCUGCGACAUCUGCCACCCCAUUGAUCUCCAGGGUUGAUUCGGCUGAUCUGGCUGGCUAGGCGGGUGUCCCCUUCCUCCCUCAUCACUCCAUGUGCAUCCCUCCCGAAGCUGUGAGCAGGGCUAGGGAGAUAGUAUAAUGGUUCUGCAAAAGACAUUUAUGCCUGAGGUUCUGAAGUCCAGGUUCAAUCCCCAGCACCACCGUAAUCCAGAGCUGAGAAGUGCUCUAGUCUAAAAAUAAAUAAAUAAGUACAUAAAAAUAU
Molecule: small nuclear RNA, 279 nt
Filed under: Erinaceus europaeus (western European hedgehog)
Lineage: Eukaryota; Metazoa; Chordata; Mammalia; Eulipotyphla; Erinaceidae
Description: 7SK RNA
Rfam family: 7SK RNA
About the family: 7SK was discovered as an abundant small nuclear RNA in the mid-70s but a possible function has only recently been suggested. Two independent studies have found that 7SK RNA binds the CDK9/cyclin T complex (known as elongation factor P-TEFb). P-TEFb activates transcription by phosphorylating the C-terminal domain of RNA polymerase II.
Source: Rfam by way of RNAcentral